This 462-nucleotide ribosomal RNA is filed under the name uncultured bacterium. Its description in RNAcentral is "partial 16S ribosomal RNA". It matches the Rfam family "Bacterial small subunit ribosomal RNA", at positions 338 to 795 of the family's 1533-position model. The record is from RNAcentral.
CCUACGGGGGGCAGCAGUGAGGAAUAUUGGUCAAUGGACGCAAGUCUGAACCAGCCAAGUAGCGUGCAGGAUGACGGCCCUCCGGGUUGUAAACUGCUUUUAGUUGGGAAUAAAAGGGGGCUCGUGAGCCCCGUAUUGUAUGUACCAUCAGAAAAAGGACCGGCUAAUUCCGUGCCAGCAGCCGCGGUAAUACGGAAGGUCCGGGCGUUAUCCGGAUUUAUUGGGGUUAAAGGGAGCGUAGGCCGGCUUUUAAGUCAGCUGUGGAAGUCCGCGGCUCAACCGUGGAAUUGCAGUUGAAACUGGAGGCCGUGAGAGCACACAGGGAUGCCGGAAUUCAUGGUGUAGCGGUGAAAUGCUUAGAUAUCAUGAAGAACUCCGAUCGCGAAGGCAAGUGUCCGGGGUGCAACUGACGCUGAGGCUCGAAAGUGCGGGUAUCAAACAGGAUUAGAUACCCGUGUAGUC